RNAcentral lists this ribosomal RNA (770 nucleotides) under uncultured Caldilinea sp. RNAcentral describes it as "bacterial SSU rRNA". It matches the Rfam family "Bacterial small subunit ribosomal RNA", at positions 8 to 796 of the family's 1533-position model. The record is from RNAcentral. Lineage: Bacteria; Bacillati; Chloroflexota; Caldilineae; Caldilineales; Caldilineaceae.
AGAGUUUGAUCAUGGCUCAGGAUGAACGCUGGCGGCGUGCUUAACACAUGCAAGUCGAACGUGAUCCCACAGCAAUGUGGGUGAAAGUGGCAAACGGGUGAGUAACACGUAGAUGACCUGCCUUGGAGUGGGGGAUAACCACCGGAAACGGUGGCUAAUACCGCAUAUGCUUGUGGCGCUGGGCAGCGCAGCAAGGAAAGCUUUAGUGCUUCAAGAGGGGUCUGCGUCCGAUUAGCUAGUUGGUGAGGUAAUGGCUCACCAAGGCGAUGAUCGGUAGCUGGUCUGAGAGGACGAUCAGCCACACGGGAACUGAGAGACGGUCCCGACUCCUACGGGGGGCAGCAGUGAGGAAUAUUGGUCAAUGGGCGCAAGCCUGAACCAGCAACGCCGCGUGGAGGAUGACGGCCUUCGGGUUGUAAACUCCUUUUGCAGGGGAAAAGGAAGGAUGGUACCCUGCGAAUAAGUCACGGCUAACUACGUGCCAGCAGCCGCGGUAAUACGUAGGUGACAAGCGUUAUCCGGAAUUAUUGGGCGUAAAGCGCACGCAAGCGGUUGGACAAGUCCGGCGUGAAAUCUCCCAGCUUAACUGGGAGCGGUCGCGGGAAACUGUUCGACUUGAGGCGAUGAGAGGGGUGCAGAAUUCCCGGUGUAGUGGUGGAAUGCGUAGAUAUCGGGAGGAAUACCAGUGGCGAAAGCGGCACCCUGGCGUCGUGCUGACGCACAUGUGCGAAAGCGUGGGGAGCGAACGGGAUUAGAUACCCCAGUAGUCC